AGUGAACGCUGGCGGUAGGCCUAACACAUGCAAGUCGAACGGCAGCACAGUAAGAGCUUGCUCUUACGGGUGGCGAGUGGCGGACGGGUGAGGAAUACAUCGGAAUCUACUUUUUCGUGGGGGAUAACGGAGGGAAACUUACGCUAAUACCGCAUACGACCUACGGGUGAAAGCAGGGGAUCUUCGGACCUUGCGCGAUUGAAUGAGCCGAUGUCGGAUUAGCUAGUUGGCGGGGUAAAGGCCCACCAAGGCGACGAUCCGUAGCUGGUCUGAGAGGAUGAUCAGCCACACUGGAACUGAGACCCGGUCCAGACUCCUACGGGAGGCAGCAGUGGGGAAUAUUGGACAAUGGGCGCAAGCCUGAUCCAGCCAUACCGCGUGGGUGAAGAAGGCCUUCGGGUUGUAAAGCCCUUUUGUUGGGAAAGAAAAGCAGCAGGUUAAUACCCCGCUGUUCUGACGGUACCCAAAGAAUAAGCACCGGCUAACUUCGUG
RNAcentral lists this ribosomal RNA (492 nucleotides) under uncultured bacterium. RNAcentral describes it as "partial 16S ribosomal RNA". It matches the Rfam family "Bacterial small subunit ribosomal RNA", at positions 29 to 507 of the family's 1533-position model. The record is from RNAcentral.